This 375-nucleotide ribosomal RNA is filed under the name uncultured eukaryote. RNAcentral describes it as "partial 18S ribosomal RNA". It matches the Rfam family "Eukaryotic small subunit ribosomal RNA", at positions 592 to 976 of the family's 1831-position model. The record is from RNAcentral.
CAAUAGCGUAUAUUUAAGUUGUUGCAGUUAAAAAGCUCGUAGUUGGAUUUCGGUUAAGAGCGACCGGUCCGCCGUUUGGUGUGCACUGGUUGGUUUUAACUUCCUGUAGAGGACGUGCUCUGGGUUUAACGACCUGGACUCGGAGUCUACGUGGUUACUUUGAAAAAAUUAGAGUGUUCAAAGCGGGCUUACGCUUGAAUAUUUCAGCAUGGAAUAACACUAUAGGACUCCUGUCCUAUUUCGUUGGUCUCGGGACGGGAGUAAUGAUUAAGAGGAACAGUUGGGGGCAUUCGUAUUUCAUUGUCAGAGGUGAAAUUCUUGGAUUUAUGAAAGACGAACUUCUGCGAAAGCAUUUGCCAAGGAUGUCUUCAUUAA